UUGGCAAGAUGAUGAAACUCGGCUAUGAGCCCGAUAUUGUCACGCUUAACUCGCUGCUCAAUGGUUUCUGUCACGGGAAUAGGAUUUCUGAUGCCGUAGCUUUGGUUGAUCAAAUGGUCGAAAUGGGAUAUAAACCCGAUACGGUGACAUUCACAACUCUAAUUCAUGGACUUUUUCUUCACAACAAAGCUUCAGAAGCAGUGGCUUUAAUUGAUCGAAUGGUUCAAAGAGGCUGUCAACCAGAUCUGGUUACUUAUGGUGCGGUAGUUAAUGGAUUAUGUAAGAGAGGUGAUACUGAUUUGGCUUUAAAUCUGCUCAACAAGAUGGAAGCUGCGAAAAUAGAGGCCAAUGUUGUGAUCUACAGCACAGUCAUAGAUAGUCUCUGCAAAUAUAGACAUGAGGAUGAUGCACUCAACUUGUUCACUGAAAUGGAAAACAAAGGAGUUAGACCAAAUGUUAUCACCUACAGCUCCCUCAUAAGUUGCCUUUGUAAUUACGGAAGAUGGAGUGAUGCUUCUCGACUACUCAGUGAUAUGAUUGAGAGGAAAAUCAAUCCAAAUUUAGUCACUUUCAGCGCAUUGAUUGAUGCAUUUGUGAAGAAGGGGAAGCUUGUAAAGGCUGAGAAAUUGUACGAGGAGAUGAUCAAAAGGUCCAUAGAUCCUAAUAUUUUCACUUAUAGUUCACUGAUCAAUGGGUUUUGUAUGCUCGAUCGCCUUGGUGAGGCUAAGCAGAUGCUUGAGUUGAUGAUUAGGAAGGAUUGUCUACCAAACGUAGUCACUUAUAAUACGCUUAUAAAUGGAUUUUGUAAGGCUAAGAGAGUAGACAAAGGUAUGGAACUCUUCCGCGAGAUGUCUCAAAGAGGAUUGGUUGGCAACACAGUCACUUACACCACUCUUAUCCAUGGAUUUUUUCAAGCUAGAGAUUGUGAUAAUGCCCAAAUGGUUUUCAAACAGAUGGUUUCUGUUGGUGUGCAUCCCAAUAUUUUGACAUACAACAUUCUGUUAGAUGGACUUUGUAAAAAUGGGAAGCUAGCGAAAGCAAUGGUUGUAUUCGAGUAUCUGCAAAGGAGUACAAUGGAACCUGAUAUUUACACAUAUAAUAUUAUGAUUGAAGGGAUGUGCAAGGCAGGGAAGUGGAAGAUGGGUGGGAUCUAUUUUGUAGCCUCAGCCUUAAAGGAGUGAAGCCUAAUGUUGUAACCUACACAACAAUGAUCUCAGGAUUUUGUAGGAAAGGUUUAAACAAAGAAGCAGAUGCCUUGUUUAGAGAUAUGAAAGAAGAUGGGACUCUUCCAGAUAGCGGUUGCUAUAAGAUGCCAUCUUAGAGAAUGGUGACAAAGCAGCAUCAGCUGAACUCAUCAAAGAAUUGAGGAGUUGCAGGUUUGCUGGAGAUGCUUCAACCUUUGGCUUGGUCACUAAUAUGUUGUAUGGGGAGAUUGGACAAAAGCUUUUUGGAAAUGCUUUCCUAAACUAUCCUUGAAGUGAGUAAGCCUUUUU
RNAcentral lists this small RNA (1493 nucleotides) under Arabidopsis thaliana (thale cress). RNAcentral's name for it is "ATSL062720". The record is from RNAcentral. Lineage: Eukaryota; Viridiplantae; Streptophyta; Magnoliopsida; Brassicales; Brassicaceae.